CCCUUAGAUGUUCUGGGCCGCACGCGUGCUACACUGAGUGGAUCAGCGGGUCAGGUUGCGCGAAAGCGUUUCCUAAUCUUUAAAUCCGCUCGUGAUGGGGAUUGACGGUUGCAAUUUUCUGUCAUGAACGAGGAAUACCUUGUAAGCGCGGGUCAUCAUCCCGCGCUGAUUACGUCCCUGCCCUUUGUACACACCGCCCGUCGCUCCUACCGAUUGAAUGAUCCGGUGAAUAAUUCGGACUGCAGCAGUGUUCAGUUCCUGAACGUUGCAGCGGAAAGUUUAGUGAACCUUAUCACUUAGAGGAAGGAGAAGUCGUAACA
This 320-nucleotide ribosomal RNA is filed under the name uncultured eukaryote. RNAcentral describes it as "partial 18S ribosomal RNA". It matches the Rfam family "Eukaryotic small subunit ribosomal RNA", at positions 1470 to 1796 of the family's 1831-position model. The record is from RNAcentral.